Molecule: ribosomal RNA, 468 nt
Filed under: uncultured bacterium
Lineage: Bacteria
Description: partial 16S ribosomal RNA
Rfam family: Bacterial small subunit ribosomal RNA
Source: RNAcentral
GACGAACGCUGGCGGCGUGCUUAACACAUGCAAGUCGAACGGAAAGGCCCUGCUUUUGUGGGGUGCUCGAGUGGCGAACGGGUGAGUAACACGUGAGUAACCUGCCCUUGACUUUGGGAUAACUUCAGGAAACUGGGGCUAAUACCGGAUAGGAGCUCCUGCUGCAUGGUGGGGGUUGGAAAGUUUCGGCGGUUGGGGAUGGACUCGCGGCUUAUCAGCUUGUUGGUGGGGUAGUGGCUUACCAAGGCUUUGACGGGUAGCCGGCCUGAGAGGGUGGCCGGCGACAUUGGGACUGAGAUACGGACCAGACUCCUACGGGAGGCAGCAGUGGGGAAUAUUGCACAAUGGGCGGAAGCCUGAUGCAGCAACGCCGCGUGCGGGAUGACGGCCUUCGGGUUGUAAACCGCUUUCGCCUGUGACGAAGCGUGAGUGACGGUAAUGGGUAAAGAAGCACCGGCUAACUACGUG